This 578-nucleotide ribosomal RNA is filed under the name uncultured bacterium. RNAcentral describes it as "bacterial SSU rRNA". It matches the Rfam family "Bacterial small subunit ribosomal RNA", at positions 331 to 929 of the family's 1533-position model. The record is from RNAcentral.
CCAGACUCCUACGGGAGGCAGCAGUCGGGAAUAUUGCACAAUGGAGGAAACUCUGAUGCAGUGACACCGCGUAUAGGAAGAAGGUCUUAGGAUUGUAAGCUAUUGUCGUGUGAGAAGAAAAUGACCAUCACAGGAGGAAGCCCUGGCUAAAUAUGUGCCAGCAGCCGCGGUAAUACAUAUGGGGCGAGCGUUAUCCGGAUUUAUUGGGUGUAAAGGGUGCGUAGGCGGGAAAAUAAGUCAGUAUGUGAAAUCCCUCGGCUCAACUGAGGAACUGCAACUGAAACUAUUUUUCUUGAGUGUUGAAGGGGAAAGUGGAAUUCCUAGUGUAGCGGUGAAAUGCGUAGAGAUUAGGAGGAACACCAGUGGCGAAGGCGACUUUCUGGGCAACAACUGACGCUGAGGCACGAAAGUGUGGGGAGCAAACAGGAUUAGAUACCCUGGUAGUCCACACCGUAAACGAUGGAUACUAGGAGUUGGCAAAAAUAUUGUCGGUUCCGCAGUUAACGCAUUAAGUAUCCCACCUGGGGAGUACGACCGCAAGGUUAAAACUCAAAGGAAUUGACGGGGGCCCGCACAAG